Molecule: ribosomal RNA, 116 nt
Filed under: Pteropus alecto (black flying fox)
Lineage: Eukaryota; Metazoa; Chordata; Mammalia; Chiroptera; Pteropodidae
Source: RNAcentral
GUCUACGGCCAUGCCACUCUGAACAAGCCUGAUGUCUGAUCUCGGAAGCUCAGCAGGGUCGAGCCUGGUUAGUACUUGGAUGGGAGACCACCUAGGAAGACCAGGUGCUGUAGGCA